AGCUACUUGCAUCAUUGUAAAUAUGAUGCAAGAUCGACUAUGUCGAAUAAAAUUCUAGGUAGAAUUAUGAUAAUGACAUUGUCUGCCUAUGUGUCUUGACCAAAUUACGUGCCAGCAGUCGCGGUAAUACGUAGAAGACUAGUGUUAUUCAUGUUUAAUCGGUUUAAAGGGUACCUAGACGGUAAAUCAAGCCUAAAAGGAAAUAAAUGAAGGGACUAAUUUACUAGAGUUACUUAUGAGGGGGUAUUAAAGUACUGCUGGUGUAGAGAUGAAAUUCUGUCAUACCUCUUUUCAAUAGAAAAUUAAUGGCACAGGUAUAGGCGAAAGCAUCCCCUUAUGUGAUAACUGACGUUGAGGGACGAAGGCUUUGUGUAGCGAACAGGAUUAGAUACCCCAGUAGUCAAAGCAGAAAAUGAUGAAUGUCAUAGAUUAGAUAUAUAAGUUUAUUCUAUAAAUGAAAGUGUAAGCAUUCCACCUCAAGAGUAAUUUGGCAACAUUGGAACUGAAAUCAUUAGACCGUUUCUGAAACCAGUAGUGAAGUAUGUUGUUUAAUUUGAUGAUCCGCAAAAAACCUUACCACAAUUUGAAUAUUUAUAUCUUUUAUUGUUUUUCUUUUUAACUUUUUCUAAUUUUCUACUUAAAAGAAAAAAAUAACAAGAAAAAAGAGACAAUA
Molecule: ribosomal RNA, 673 nt
Filed under: Vulpicida juniperinus
Lineage: Eukaryota; Fungi; Ascomycota; Lecanoromycetes; Lecanorales; Parmeliaceae
Description: SSU rRNA
Rfam family: Bacterial small subunit ribosomal RNA
Source: RNAcentral